Molecule: long non-coding RNA, 208 nt
Filed under: Mytilus galloprovincialis (Mediterranean mussel)
Lineage: Eukaryota; Metazoa; Mollusca; Bivalvia; Mytilida; Mytilidae
Source: RNAcentral
UGAGAAAGUGUUAUUCACCGCGCUAAACGUCACGCGCUUUUACAUGCAACGUUAUGGUAAAAUGUUUCAUGUAAAAAAAAAAUUGGUAUAUGUUUGUCAUUAGAUUCAUUUUCUUCUCUCGGACUAUGGAAUAAAACAAUUACUGUCUUUUGUUUCGGUAAAUAUGGGGUUUUAUUGACUUUUGAAAAACUGUUUUUCACUUCGGCCG